Molecule: ribosomal RNA, 253 nt
Filed under: uncultured bacterium
Lineage: Bacteria
Description: partial 16S ribosomal RNA
Rfam family: Bacterial small subunit ribosomal RNA
Source: RNAcentral
UACAGAGGGUGCGAGCGUUAAUCGGAAUUACUGGGCGUAAAGCGUGCGUAGACGGUUAUUUAAGUCGGGUGUGAAAGCCCCGGGCUCAACCUGGGAAUUGCAUUCGAGACUGAAUAGCUAGGGUACGGUAGAGGGAAGUGGAAUUUCCGGUGUAGCGGUGAAAUGCGUAGAUAUUCGCAAGAACACCAGUGGCGAAGGCGGCUCACUGGCCCGGAACUGACGCUGAGAUGCGAAAGCGUGGGGAGCAAACAGG